RNAcentral lists this ribosomal RNA (500 nucleotides) under uncultured bacterium. RNAcentral's name for it is "partial 16S ribosomal RNA". It matches the Rfam family "Bacterial small subunit ribosomal RNA", at positions 30 to 523 of the family's 1533-position model. The record is from RNAcentral.
AUUGAACGCUGGCGGAAUGCUUUACACAUGCAAGUCGAACGGCAGCACGGACUUCGGUCUGGUGGCGAGUGGCGAACGGGUGAGUAAUACAUCGGAACGUGCCCAAUCGUGGGGGAUAACGUAGCGAAAGCUACGCUAAUACCGCAUACGAUCUAAGGAUGAAAGCGGGGGAUCGCAAGACCUCGCGCGAUUGGAGCGGCCGAUGGCAGAUUAGGUAGUUGGUAGAGUAAAGGCCUACCAAGCCGACGAUCUGUAGCUGGUCUGAGAGGAUGAUCAGCCACACUGGGACUGAGACACGGCCCAGACUCCUACGGGAGGCAGCAGUGGGGAAUUUUGGACAAUGGACGCAAGUCUGAUCCAGCCAUUCCGCGUGCAGGAUGAAGGCCCUCGGGUUGUAAACUGCUUUUGUACAGAACGAAAAGGCUCUGGUUAAUACCUAGAGCUCAUGACGGUACCGUAAGAAUAAGCACCGGCUAACUACGUGCCAGCCGCCGCGGUAA